ACGUAAACGAUAUUGUGCAGGAGAGUAAGAUGCCAUCCUAUCAGUUAGUAAGUAGGGUAAGGGCCUACUUAGACGAAGACGGGUACGGGGAAUGAGGGUUUGAUUCCGGAGAGGGAGCCUGAGAGAUGGCUACCAGGACCAAGGUCAGCAGCAGGCGCGAAAAUUAUCGAAGCCCGCCUAGGGGCGAUAGUGAGGAGACGUGUAUAACGAAGUACGUGUAAAGAACGUGCUAAUAACUGGAGGUCAAGUCUGGUGCCAGCAUCCGCGGUAAUUCCAGCUCCAGGGGUGUCUAUGAUGAUUGCUGCGAUUAAAAAGUCCGUAGUCAAUCUGACUGACUGGCCUGCAAUGUGAUUGAUUAAAGAACGAGCAGGGUUAGGAAAGCAGAGAAUCAGGAGCGACCGAGGGCUAGAGUAUUGAAUGGCGAGAGGUGAAAUUUGAUGACCCAUUCAGGAGUGACAAAGGCGAAGGCACUAGUCAAGGGCGAAUCCGAUGAUCAAGGACGUAGGCUAGAGUUUCGAAAACGAUUAGAGACCGGAGUAGUUCUAGCAGUAAACUAUGCCGACGCCGUGGUAUCAUUUUGGUAUUGCGGAAGAGAAAUCAAGUAAGGCUUUGGGGAGAGUACGCGCGCAAGCGAUAAAUUUAAAGGAAAUUGACGGAGGAACACCACAAGGAGUGGAGUGUGCGGCUUAAUUUGACUCAACGCGGGACAGCUUACCAGGCCCGAUAAUCGAGCGAGCGUAGUACGCGAUAGGUUAAAGAGUGGUGCAUGGCUGCUAUCGACAGUUGGGGUGACCUUAGGGUUAAUUCCGGCAAGUAGUGAGACCCCUGCAGAUAGUGGACAGGUAUUUUUAAAAUACAGGAAGGAAGGGACAAGAGCAGGUCAGUGAUGCCCUUAGAUGGCCUGGGCUGCACGCGCACUACAGUGGUCAUUAUAAGUAGAAGUUAGAUAUAAAGAUGAUCGAGAGGGACUGAGCUUUGUA
This 980-nucleotide ribosomal RNA is filed under the name Dictyocoela sp. RNAcentral describes it as "SSU rRNA". It matches the Rfam family "Microsporidia small subunit ribosomal RNA", at positions 131 to 1113 of the family's 1311-position model. Lineage: Eukaryota; Fungi; Microsporidia. The record is from RNAcentral.